RNAcentral lists this transfer RNA (84 nucleotides) under Thermochaetoides thermophila DSM 1495. Its description in RNAcentral is "tRNA-Leu (CAG) (tRNA-Leu-CAG-3-1)". It matches the Rfam family "tRNA". Rfam says of the family: Transfer RNA (tRNA) molecules are approximately 80 nucleotides in length. Their secondary structure includes four short double-helical elements and three loops (D, anti-codon, and T loops). Further hydrogen bonds mediate the characteristic L-shaped molecular structure. tRNAs have two regions of fundamental functional importance: the anti-codon, which is responsible for specific mRNA codon recognition, and the 3' end, to which the tRNAs corresponding amino acid is attached (by aminoacyl-tRNA synthetases). tRNAs cope with the degeneracy of the genetic code in two manners: having more than one tRNA (with a specific anti-codon) for a particular amino acid; and 'wobble' base-pairing, i.e. permitting non-standard base-pairing at the 3rd anti-codon position. Lineage: Eukaryota; Fungi; Ascomycota; Sordariomycetes; Sordariales; Chaetomiaceae. The record is from RNAcentral.
GGCAAGGUGGCCGAGCGGUCCAAGGCGCCAGGUUCAGGUCCUGGUCUCCGAAAGGGGGCGUGAGUUCGAAUCUCACCCUUGUCA